UAAAGAACGUGGAUGAGGAGAAGUAAAAGGAAACCUGCUUGCACAGAGAAAACCAUCUAAGGCUGAGAAUGGUUGAAGCACUUGUCUUUGAAAUGCACCUCUGAGUUUUUUCCCGAACAAACGAGUACGGAAAAACGGUUAACCGCCGUUAUUGGUUCAAGUGGAGGGCAUCGCACUGCCCUAAACAGAGUGGAACCGCGCAAAAAAGCGUCUCUGAG
RNAcentral lists this non-coding RNA (218 nucleotides) under Gracilibacillus kekensis. Its description in RNAcentral is "T-box sequence". It matches the Rfam family "T-box leader". Rfam says of the family: Uncharged tRNA acts as the effector for transcription antitermination of genes in the T-box leader family. T-boxes are found upstream of many aminoacyl-tRNA synthetase genes and some amino acid biosynthetic genes usually in Gram-positive bacteria. Lineage: Bacteria; Bacillati; Bacillota; Bacilli; Caryophanales; Bacillaceae. The record is from RNAcentral.